ACGAACGCUGGCGGCGCGCCUAAUACAUGCAAGUCGAGCGAGCGGAACUAACAGAUUUACUUCGGUAAUGACGUUAGGAAAGCGAGCGGCGGAUGGGUGAGUAACACGUGGGGAACCUGCCCCAUAGUCUGGGAUACCACUUGGAAACAGGUGCUAAUACCGGAUAAGAAAGCAGAUCGCAUGAUCAGCUUUUAAAAGGCGGCGUAAGCUGUCGCUAUGGGAUGGCCCCGCGGUGCAUUAGCUAGUUGGUAAGGUAAAGGCUUACCAAGGCGAUGAUGCAUAGCCGAGUUGAGAGACUGAUCGGCCACAUUGGGACUGAGACACGGCCCAAACUCCUACGGGAGGCAGCAGUAGGGAAUCUUCCACAAUGGACGCAAGUCUGAUGGAGCAACGCCGCGUGAGUGAAGAAGGUUUUCGGAUCGUAAAGCUCUGUUGUUGGUGAAGAAGGAUAGAGGUAGUAACUGGCCUUUAUUUGACGGUAAUCAACCAGAAAGUCACGGCUAACUACGUG
This 511-nucleotide ribosomal RNA is filed under the name uncultured bacterium. RNAcentral describes it as "partial 16S ribosomal RNA". It matches the Rfam family "Bacterial small subunit ribosomal RNA", at positions 29 to 507 of the family's 1533-position model. The record is from RNAcentral.